Non-coding RNA from Chaetomium tenue, 84 nucleotides. The record is from the annotation of a GenBank genome assembly. NCBI's taxonomy places the organism in Eukaryota, Fungi, Ascomycota, Sordariomycetes, Sordariales, Chaetomiaceae.
GGGUACAUGGUCUAGUGGUAUGAUUUUCGCUUCGCACAUGUGCGACCUUGUGAAAGGUCCCCGGUUCGAUCCCGGGUGUAUCCA